RNAcentral lists this ribosomal RNA (527 nucleotides) under Naganishia diffluens. Its description in RNAcentral is "partial large subunit ribosomal RNA". It matches the Rfam family "Eukaryotic large subunit ribosomal RNA", at positions 114 to 645 of the family's 3401-position model. Lineage: Eukaryota; Fungi; Basidiomycota; Tremellomycetes; Filobasidiales; Filobasidiaceae. The record is from RNAcentral.
UUUGAAAUCUAGUAGCCUUCGGCUGCUCGAGUUGUAAUCUAGAGAAGUGUUUUCCGUGCCGGCCCAUGUACAAGUCCCUUGGAACAGGGCGUCAUAGAGGGUGAGAAUCCCGUCCUUGACAUGGACCCCCGGUGCUCUGUGAUACACUUUCAACGAGUCGAGUUGUUUGGGAAUGCAGCUCAAAAUGGGUGGUGAAUUCCAUCUAAAGCUAAAUAUUGGCGAGAGACCGAUAGCGAACAAGUACCGUGAGGGAAAGAUGAAAAGCACUUUGGAAAGAGAGUUAAACAGUACGUGAAAUUGUUGAAAGGGAAACGAUUGAAGUCAGUCAUGCUCUUUGGUAUUUAUAUCAUUGAGUGGGGUCAACAUCAGUUUUGAGCGAUGGAUAAAGGCACUAGGAAGGUAGCACUCUCGGGUGAACUUAUAGCCUAGCGUCAUAUACAUUGUUUGGGACUGAGGAACGCAGCAUGCCUUUAUGGCCGGGAUUCGUCCACGUACAUGCUUAGGAUGUUGACAUAAUGGCUUUAAAC